AUUGAACGCUGGCGGCAGGCUUAACACAUGCAAGUCGAGCGGGGUGAUGGUGCUUGCACUAUCACUUAGCGGCGGACGGGUGAGUAAUGCUUAGGAAUCUGCCUAUUAGUGGGGGACAACAUCUCGAAAGGGAUGCUAAUACCGCAUACGUCCUACGGGAGAAAGCAGGGGAUCACUUGUGACCUUGCGCUAAUAGAUGAGCCUAAGUGGGAUUAGCUAGUUGGUGGGGUGAAGGCCUACCAAGGCGACGAUCUGUAGCGGGUCUGAGAGGAUGAUCCGCCACACUGGGACUGAGACACGGCCCAGACUCCUACGGGAGGCAGCAGUGGGGAAUAUUGGACAAUGGGGGGAACCCUGAUCCAGCCAUGCCGCGUGUGUGAAGAAGGCCUUAUGGUUGUAAAGCACUUUAAGCGAGGAGGAGGCUCUUUUGGUUAAUACACAAGAUGAGUGGACGUUACUCGCAGAAUAAGCACCGGCUAACUCUGUGCCAGCAGCCGCCGCAG
Molecule: ribosomal RNA, 503 nt
Filed under: uncultured bacterium
Lineage: Bacteria
Description: partial 16S ribosomal RNA
Rfam family: Bacterial small subunit ribosomal RNA
Source: RNAcentral